CACAUGAUAUGUGGAAAGCUCUCAAAACUAAGUUUGGUGCUACUUCCGAUACUAGGUUGCACAAUUUGACCUUGUAUUUUGAUAGUUACCAAAAGCAUACUAAGUAGACUGUGAAACAAUACUUGAGGGUAAAGUCAGACAUGAUAUGUGAGUUAAAAUCUACUAGCAAUCUACUAGCAAUAAUUUGACUGAUGACCAC
RNAcentral lists this long non-coding RNA (199 nucleotides) under Elaeis guineensis (African oil palm). RNAcentral's name for it is "long non-coding RNA (EGUI_LNC001734)". The record is from RNAcentral. Lineage: Eukaryota; Viridiplantae; Streptophyta; Magnoliopsida; Arecales; Arecaceae.